This is a long non-coding RNA of Uranotaenia lowii, 748 nucleotides long. RefSeq lists it as uncharacterized. The record is from RefSeq and is a predicted model, not a curated record. The transcript is spliced from 3 exons. Lineage: Eukaryota; Metazoa; Arthropoda; Insecta; Diptera; Culicidae.
ACGAUGCGAGACAACCUAUGUAUUUUUAUUGAUUUUGGUUAAAAUAUUACAUCUAAACGAUGUACACAAUCCGAACGCGUCAUGUUGUGUAAUAUUCCAACUUUCUAUGUACUAUUACAUCAAGUAGUCAAUGUUUAUUCCAAUUGACAUUUUAAUUUUUUUUCGUGUCCGAAAGUUUGAAACGGAUUGUGGAGUUCAGGAGGAUUUGUUCUGUUGGAAUUUUGGUCAUCGUUUAUCAGAGAUACAAAAGAGUUCCGGAGAAAAGAAAAUAAAGAAAGUUAUAUUCGAUGAAAUGGAUGACAACGAUGUUGCGAAGUUGUAGGACCAAUGGCCAUCAAAGGGACAGAUUAAUCGAAUACGGAACUGUGCCAAUCAGUGUUUAUUUCGGGUGUGAAUGUCUGGCUGAAGGUAGGAUGCCCAGAUAUGCCCAGUUUCUUUCAAAGUAGGAAGGAUACGAUCAAACAUUUCAACAGGAUACUGAAAGGUUCAGCGAAGCAGAUGUGACUGAAUCCAUUUGGAUGGUUCCAUUCUUCAGUUUGUCAUAAUUCAUGGAAUAAGUUAGUUUUUUAGUUUGUCAUAAUUCAUGGAAUAAACUCAUGUCUUCAGUUUUUAAUGGUUUAAUUCAGUCUGAAAAAAAAUUCUGAUCCUUUUAUACAUAUGUACAUAAGUAGGAGCUUAAAUUUUGAGUCCUUAAUUUGAGUUUUAGAUUUUUUAACAUAUCAGAAAUUUAUUCAAAUUUUGAAAAUGA